RNAcentral lists this ribosomal RNA (494 nucleotides) under uncultured bacterium. RNAcentral describes it as "partial 16S ribosomal RNA". It matches the Rfam family "Bacterial small subunit ribosomal RNA", at positions 28 to 507 of the family's 1533-position model. The record is from RNAcentral.
GACGAACGCUGGCGGCGUGCUUAACACAUGCAAGUCGAACGGUGAAGCGCCUUCCUUUUUGGUGGGUGUGGAUGAGUGGCGAACGGGUGAGUAACACGUGAGUAACCUGCCCCCUUCUUCUGGAUAACCGCAUGAAAGUGUGGCUAAUACGGGAUAUUCUGGGUCUGUCGCAUGAUGGGUUUGGGAAAGAUAUUGUUUCGGUGGGGGACGGGCUCGCGGCCUAUCAGCUUGUUGGUGGGGGGAGGCCCUACCAAGGCGGUGACGGGUUGCCGGCCUGAGAGGGUGGGCGGUCACACUGGGACUGAGACACGGCCCAGACUCCUAGGGGAGGCAGCGGGGAGGAAUAGUGCACAGUGGGCGCAAGCCUGAUGCAGCGACGCCGCGGGAGGGAUGGAGGCCUGCGGGUUGUGAACCUCUUUCGCCAGUGAAGCAGGCCUGCCUAGUUUGUGGGUGGGUUGACGGUAGCUGGAUAAGAAGCGCCGGCUAACUACGUG